AUUGAACGCUGGCGGCAGGCCUAACACAUGCAAGUCGAACGAGUGGCGGACGGGUGAGUAAUGUCUGGGAAACUGCCCGAUGGAGGGGGAUAACUACUGGAAACGGUAGCUAAUACCGCAUACCAUCGGAUGUGCCCAGAGGGGGUUAGCUUGUAGGGUAGGUAACGGCUCACCUAGGCGACGAUCCCUAGCUGGUCUGAGAGGAUGACGAGCCACACUGGAACUGAGACACGGUCCAGAAUCGUACGGGAGGCAGCAGUGGGGAAUAUUGAACAAGGGGCGGAAGCAUGAUGCAGCCAUGCCGCGUGUAUGAAGAAGGCCUUUGGUUUGUAAAGUACUUUCAGCGGGGAGGCUUUACCCGCAGAAGAAGCACCGUAUAACUCCGUGCCAGCAGCCGCGGUAAUGC
RNAcentral lists this ribosomal RNA (406 nucleotides) under uncultured bacterium. RNAcentral describes it as "partial 16S ribosomal RNA". It matches the Rfam family "Bacterial small subunit ribosomal RNA", at positions 30 to 526 of the family's 1533-position model. The record is from RNAcentral.